This 447-nucleotide ribosomal RNA is filed under the name uncultured bacterium. RNAcentral describes it as "partial 16S ribosomal RNA". It matches the Rfam family "Bacterial small subunit ribosomal RNA", at positions 29 to 523 of the family's 1533-position model. The record is from RNAcentral.
AACGAACGCUGGCGGCAGGCCUAAAACAUGCAAGUCGGACGAACCUUCGGGUUAGUGGCGCACGGGUGAGUAACACGUGGGAACGUACCCUUUGGUGCGGAACAACGUCUGGAAACGGACGCUAAUACCGCAUAAUAUCUACGGAUCAAAGAUUUAUCGCCAAAGGAACGGCCCGCGUUAGAUUAGGUAGUUGGUAGGGUAAUGGCCUACCAAGCCUACGAUCUAUAGCUGGUUUGAGAGGAUGAUCAGCCACACUGGGACUGAGACACGGCCCAGACUCCUACGGGAGGCAGCAGUUAGGAAUAUUGGACAAUGGGGGAAACCCUGAUCCAGCCAUGCCGCGUGUGUGAAGAAGGCCUUAGGGUUGUAAGGCACUUUCAUCUGCGAAGAUAAUGACAGUAACAGAAGAAGAAGCUCCGGCUAAAUUCGUGCCAGCCGCCGCGGUAA